UUAAAGGGUAUUCGCAAACGACCGUGUAGAUUUGUCCUUGUUUUUUUUGUAAAUAUUUAUCCGGAUGAUCCAAUAUCAAGCCAGGAACAACUGGCUUAUGAUACGGGCAAAUAAGCAAGAGAGCGUUCGCAGGACAGCCAAAAACGCUGCCGUUGUCAGCAACCAAGCAACGGAACGGAAUAGGAACAACGGAAGACAACCGGAUUCUCAAGAGGAAAACGAACCAUGUCCUCUAGAGCAUUGUGUAAACCGGAAAUAUAUGCAUUCGAUUACUGGCCAUAAUAGAAGACAACGCGAAGCCAGACAAGCCGGAAUAUAAUCUGUCGCUGGUCUAGCAAUGAUCAGACGAGGAGUGAAAGUGUGUUGGGGAAACAGUAAGAGUUAAAAUUAACAAUAAUAACGGCAAUAAUUAA
Long non-coding RNA from Aedes aegypti (yellow fever mosquito), 413 nucleotides. RefSeq lists it as uncharacterized. The transcript has 2 exons. NCBI's taxonomy places the organism in Eukaryota, Metazoa, Arthropoda, Insecta, Diptera, Culicidae. The record is from RefSeq and is a predicted model, not a curated record.